GAGUUUGAUUCUGGCUCAGGGUGAACGCUAGCGGUGCGCCUAACACAUGCAAGUCGAGCGGGAGUGGAAGAGAAGCUUGCUUCUUUUUUACAAUAGCGGCGAACGGGUGAGUAACACGUUGGAACCUGCCCCCAAGUCAGGGAUAGCCUAGGGAAACCUGGGAUAAUACCGGAUAGUCUCUUUGGAGUAAAGAUUUAUUGCUUGGGGAGGGGCCUGCGAUCUAUCAGCUAGUUGGUGUGGUAAAGGCACACCAAGGCGAUGACGGAUAACUGGUCUGAGAGGAUGAUCAGUCACAAUGGAACUGAGACACGGUCCAUACUCCUACGGGAGGCAGCAGUGAGGAAUCUUCCACAAUGGACGAAAGUCUGAUGGAGCGACACCGCGUGAAGGAAGAAGGCCUAACGGUUGUAAACUUCUUUUCUGAAGGAGCAUAAU
Molecule: ribosomal RNA, 435 nt
Filed under: Gracilibacteria bacterium canine oral taxon 364
Lineage: Bacteria; Candidatus Altimarinota
Description: bacterial SSU rRNA
Rfam family: Bacterial small subunit ribosomal RNA
Source: RNAcentral